UUUGUCUAAAGUGCUUUAGACAAUGCAAUGGUUGCUACAACAUUCAUGAGUACUCAUAAGGGCUGAGUAUUGGAUUCAACCCACGCUCACUUGCAUCACUUCAUGGAAUUUAUCUCGAGUGAUCGUGAGACGGUAAUAUCAUAUAAAUCUUCAAACCUAGAGAUAUGAGUUGUUGACUAUGAGUUGGUUAUUCAUUGAUUGUACGAAAACGCAUUGGUAACUCGAUGUUAUAAAACGUGCCUUUGUGAAUAAUUCAACAAGUAGUUAGUACAAGCAUAUCAGUCGAAGUUUAUCUGUUCCUUCUAGAAAUAGAAGCGAUAUCUGGGCCCCUCGAUGAUUUGGUUUUGACCUAUGUACCGGGCCCGGUCAGAACCUAAUUGAUGUGUUCAAUUUAGUUCUAUGUCGAAACAAAUCGGAGAUCGAGAAACAAAUGUUGGACAAUAAGUAAGACCAUNUCACGGAAAUGAAAGGCCAUGUUAUCUAGGGUUUACAUGGUGUAACCCUAACUAUAUAAGCAUCUUAUUCUUGACCAAAAUCGGCCACUAGUGAGAGUAAGAAAGGGCUAGCCGAUUUCAUGAAGUGUAGAUUUCUCUCAAGUUAUUCCAAGUGUAUUUGGUGUUGUGUGAACCAUUUGAGGUGUCACACUUGGGGCACUUGGCACUCAAGCUUCAUGAAGACUUUCUACAUGAAAGAGGUAUGUAUUCUAUCUUGUUAUAUUCAUUCUUUAAUAUGCUAGAUUAGGAUAAUACCUUGGAUGUUCAUAUUUGUAUGUAUAAUAGAGAAAACAUAGAUCCAAGGUAUUUAGGGUUGCAUGUACACUUAGGAGUGUUAGAAUGCUCAAAACCCAACGGUAAUAUCAUAUAAAUCUUCAAACCUAGAGAUAUGAGUUGUUGACUAUGAGUUGGUUAUCCAUUGAUUGUACGAAAACGCAUCGGUAACUCGAUGUUAUAAAAUGUGCCUUUAUGAAUAAUUCAACAAGUAGUUAGUACAAGCAUAUCAGUCGAAGUUUAUCUGUUCCUAUGUUGAAACAAAUCGAAGAUCGAGAAACAAAUGUUGGACAAUAAGUAAGACCAUGUUCCAUGUGUUUGUCCGGCUGAUAUCAUGAGAGCAGAGGAUUAUAUGAUCACUUAUCUUAAAUGGCGUAUCAUCAUCAUCUCAGUUUUGAGAGACUUUGAAAGAGCUACGAUUGCUAGUCGGAUUUUUGAGGUCAUAUUUGGAAAUAUAGUUAUUACACUUAUCCAAGUGGGAGACUGUUGGAUAUAGUGUCUAAGUCCAUAACUUUAUUUGGUAUGUACUUGACGCGACCUGGCAUGGUCCAUUUGGGUUGCAUGGCAUUGCAAUACUUGGAUAGACUAAAUGAGAGAAUAUGACACUUAUGAUUAUUAAUAUAUUAUAAGUUCUAAUAUAUUAAUAAUAGUGUUAUUUAAUUAGUAUUCAUCAAGUAUUAAUCUAGUAUUAAUUUGGUGACCAAGUUGAAACUAAUUAAAUAUAUGGGGUUGAUUAUGACAAUUAUCUAAACUUUUAUAGUGGAUAAAAGGAUCCAUGGUUUACGGGUUAUGGAUAUAACUAUUUGGAGCUCCAUGGAUAGUCCAUGGAAGUUACAAACUCAUGGGUCAUGAGAAUGGAAGAGUUAUGACAAUUAUGAGUCUUCAUGAUGAAACCCUAAUUGUGACACCACUAUAAAAGGGACCCCAUGGCUAGGAAAAUCAGGCACUAGAGUAUUCUUGUGAGGGCAUAGCCGAUUUUGAAGUGUAGAAGUAUUCUCUCUAGUUAUUCCAGGUUUUGUGGUGUUGUGUGAAGCAUUUGAGGCACAACAUUUGGGGUGAUAGGCUCACAAAGUCUUGAAGGAAUCCAAGCAACCACAAGGUAUGUA
RNAcentral lists this long non-coding RNA (1873 nucleotides) under Lactuca sativa (garden lettuce). RNAcentral's name for it is "long non-coding RNA (LSAT_LNC004921)". Lineage: Eukaryota; Viridiplantae; Streptophyta; Magnoliopsida; Asterales; Asteraceae. The record is from RNAcentral.